UCUUGCACACCUUACCCCUUAUAACGAAUUCCAAUUUCACUCGUAUCAAUUCCAGAAAUUUCAGAAUUGCUACAAACUUUUUUAUAUCUAACCAUUUGUUUAUUGGAUCAUUAGAUAACAAACAUAUGAAUUUAGCCAUCAAUGGAGAGGGAGCUGAUCCAACUGAAAACAAUUCUCGCUUUUUAAAUAUUGAUGAAGUACAAUAUUAGAAGAUGUGCUAAAUCUCAAAUACUUCAACAUGCGCAAGUGGAUGUCUUUUCUCACAAGGGCAAUUUUCCGAUCGUACUGAUCACAUAAAGAAUAUAAUAGUGCCUUAUACUCUACAAGAAAAUGCAAUUUACACAAUCAAAUACUAAUAUCAUUGUUAGAGGGCUAAAGAGCCUACAUAGGAAAAGGAGAAGAAGACUUGCAAAUAGAGAAGUUUUCGUAGAUCCUCAAUAUCUUCAGUCACGACAUUCAUAACUAUCUAUAUGGUUUCAUAACAUCACAAAAUUCAUUCUUCUUGAAUUCAAUGCUGAAUUAUUGAACUCUUCUAUGGUUUUUAGCACGUUUCUUGUUGUUUUCUGCAACAAAAAAAGUAAAAUAAAAUCUGUAUAUCACGUGCUAGCAGCUAAAUUAGCAACUUUAGAAAACUAAUCAUGUAAUACAAUGAUGAAGCUUUACUUUAAUUCUACUGAAAGCUACAGAAACAUGGCAUUUGGGCACCAAAAUAGGAGAGCCCCCAACCUGAACAUACAAAUGCAAUAAAUCUGGCAUCCUCUACCCAAAAUAUAAAUAUCUAUUUAGUAACACCAACAAAGAUUCAAAUAUCAUAUAAAUUUAGAGUAAAUAUAUCACGUUCCUGAAACUGAAAGUAGUUUUCAAUUGUCAACAGUUUCAAAAUUUUCAUCCGAUUAGUGUUUUUUCUAUACAAAGUUAAAGUUCAUAUAUCAUCUCCAAUAUACAAAGUCUCAGAAUUAUUCAAACCAUGCUUCAGGUGCUUUCCAAAUCUUUGCCAUUCUUUUUAAUACAGAGAAUGCAAUUACUGUAUCACACGCUAUUGAUAAGUAUGCAUAUUCAUAAAUAAGGUAGAGAUAACAGAGAAAAAUUGUCAAACAUUAAAAGAUCAGUGCAUUACCUAUGAAUAUACCAUCAUAUCAAACAUAAAUAAUCAGAAUUAGCACAAUCUACAGUACCUUUCAAAACAGAAGUGCAUCCAAAUAUGAUCGAUAAGAUCUGAAAUGAAUAAAGUAAGUAAAUGCGUAAUCAACAAAAGCUAAAACAACAUGACUAUUUCAAAACUGACAUCUUCAAAAUGGUAAAAGAAAUUUGAUGCGCUACCAUCUAAAAGAGAACAAUAGACCCGGGAAUAUCAAUCUAUACCUAAUAGGAAGAACAUAAAGGAAAAAAUGAAAGCCAAUAGAAGAGCAAUACUUGCCGGAGUCUGAAAUGCUGAACACACGUAGGUAUAACUAUCACAACAUAGUGAAACUGAAAUAAAAAAGAUUAAACAUCAGUAAUAUACAGGCGUAGAUAAAGAAGAUGGAGAAAUGUUCAAAACUACAUCAAUAAAUAAAUGAAAAUAGAAGUGCAACAGAAAAAUCAGGGAGAAAAGCAAGCAAAACAUUACUGCAAUAAAGAUACCAUAUCGUGAAUAAAAGUUUGAUAUUGAAUUCACAUACAGCAAAUUGAAUCUUAAGAUAUUUCUGGCAAAAGAUGGAAUACCGGAUGGAGAGAUCUAAAGAGAAUCUCAUUUCCUUGCAAUUUAUUUUGUAUUUUGAGCCUUUCCAAUAACUUAUUUUAUUUAUUUGGGUUCCUUCACCUUAUAAUUAGGGAAGGGGCUGGUUUAGAAGACAUUCUGUAUAGAUAUAGAAAACAACUGAGGAUACUCAAAGACUUGCAAAACGUAGGUGAAAUUAUAUCACAAGCACAAUACACUACUGAAACCACUUCCUAUAUUAGAUCAUUUUACCACUGACUCUAAUUCUUCGAGAAAUUGCAAGAAAAUAAACAUAUCUCUUGAAAUUAAAUUAGAAUUUAAAAGGAAACAAUCACAGUAAUGUAAGUUGAUGUUUCCCAGUAAUUUAGACCACGAAGAGGAAAACUACGAACUUACCCUAGGAGAAAUAUCAAUGUUGGAGUCUCAAUUUGAACCCUUCGACAUCAAACCUGGCAAUUAUCGUACAAUUUUCUCUGUUUAGUUGGUACUUGAGAAUACCUAGAACACAAAACUCGAUUUCAAAUCCAUAAUUUGAAAAAUAAACACAUAUUAUCAAUUUCCAGCAAAAUAUUACAGCUAAUAUACACAAGACCAAAUCAACAAUUAACAAAUAAACGUAAAAGACAAAAAGUUAUGGGAUCCAUGCAAAAGGGAUGUUGGAACUUGCAAAGCAGCAAAGUGAUGCGUGAGGGAUUUUUUUUCAAUUUAAGUGACAAUAUUCGAAAUGGGAUUAUUUAUUUAAUUAAGAAUCUUCACUUGGGAAAGGUUUGGUUUUUGGUGUCCCAAG
Molecule: long non-coding RNA, 2486 nt
Filed under: Nicotiana tabacum (common tobacco)
Lineage: Eukaryota; Viridiplantae; Streptophyta; Magnoliopsida; Solanales; Solanaceae
Description: long non-coding RNA (NTAB_LNC005742)
Source: RNAcentral